GACGAACGCUGGCGGCGUGCCUAAUACAUGCAAGUCGAACGGACAGGCCCUGCGUUUGUGCGGUGCACGAGUGGCGAACGGGUGAGUAACACGUGUGUAACCUGCACCUGACUUUCUGAUAACUCUACGAAACUCCGGCUAAUACCGCAUAGGAGCUCUUGCUGCAUGGUGGGGGUUGGAAAGUUUCGGCGGUUGGGGAUGGACUCGCGGCUUAUCAGCUUGUUUGUGGGGUAGGUGCUUACCAAGGCUUUGACGGGUAGCCGGCCUGGGAGGGUGAACGGGCACAUUGGGACUGAGGUACGGACCAGAAGCCUACGGGAGGCAGCAGUGGAGAAUAUGGCACAAUGGGCGGAAGCCUGAGACAGCGACGCCGCGUGCGGGAUGACGGCCUACGGGUUGUAAACCGAUGUCGCCUGUGACGAAGAGUGAGUGACGGUAACGGGUAAAGAAGCACCGGCUAACUACGUG
RNAcentral lists this ribosomal RNA (468 nucleotides) under uncultured bacterium. RNAcentral's name for it is "partial 16S ribosomal RNA". It matches the Rfam family "Bacterial small subunit ribosomal RNA", at positions 28 to 507 of the family's 1533-position model. The record is from RNAcentral.